CCUACGGGUGGCAGCAGUGGGGAAUAUUGCACAAUGGGGGAAACCCUGAAGCAGCAACGCCGCGUGGAUGAAGAAGGUUUUCGGAUUGUAAAGUCCUUUUGUUAGGGAAGAAGAUGACGGUACCUGACGAAUAAGCACCGGCUAACUACGUGCCAGCAGCCGCGGUAAUACGGAGGGGGCAAGCGUUACUCGGAAUCACUGGGCGUAAGGAGCGCGUAGGCGGUAUAGCAAGUCAGAUGUGAAAUCCCAGGGCUUAACCAGGGAACUGCAUUGGAAACUGUUAGUCUAGAGUGUAGGAGGGGUAGGUGGAAUUCUUGGUGUAGGGGUGAAAUGCGUAGAGAUUAAGAGGAAUACUGAUUGCGAAGGCGGCCUGCUGGACCAUAACUGACGCUGAGGCACGAAAGCGUGGGGAGCAAACAGGAUUAGAUACCCCUGUAGUC
RNAcentral lists this ribosomal RNA (440 nucleotides) under uncultured bacterium. RNAcentral describes it as "partial 16S ribosomal RNA". It matches the Rfam family "Bacterial small subunit ribosomal RNA", at positions 338 to 795 of the family's 1533-position model. The record is from RNAcentral.